This 550-nucleotide ribosomal RNA is filed under the name uncultured bacterium. Its description in RNAcentral is "bacterial SSU rRNA". It matches the Rfam family "Bacterial small subunit ribosomal RNA", at positions 355 to 896 of the family's 1533-position model. The record is from RNAcentral.
UAGGGAAUCUUCGGCAAUGGACGGAAGUCUGACCGAGCAACGCCGCGUGAGUGAAGAAGGUUUUCGGAUCGUAAAGCUCUGUUGUAAGAGAAGAACGAGUGUGAGGGUGGAAAGUUCACACUGUGACGGUAUCUUACCAGAAAGGGACGGCUAACUACGUGCCAGCAGCCGCGGUAAUACGUAGGUCCCGAGCGUUGUCCGGAUUUAUUGGGCGUAAAGCGAGCGCAGGCGGUUAGAUAAGUCUGAAGUUAAAGGCUGUGGCUUAACCAUAGUACGCUUUGGAAACUGUUUAACUUGAGUGCAAGAGGGGAGAGUGGAAUUCCAUGUGUAGCGGUGAAAUGCGUAGAUAUAUGGAGGAACACCGGUGGCGAAAGCGGCUCUCUGGCUUGUAACUGACGCUGAGGCUCGAAAGCGUGGGGAGCAAACAGGAUUAGAUACCCUGGUAGUCCACGCCGUAAACGAUGAGUGCUAGGUGUUAGACCCUUUCCGGGGUUUAGUGCCGCAGCUAACGCAUUAAGCACUCCGCCUGGGGAGUACGACCGCAAGGUUG